RNAcentral lists this long non-coding RNA (309 nucleotides) under Mytilus galloprovincialis (Mediterranean mussel). The record is from RNAcentral. Lineage: Eukaryota; Metazoa; Mollusca; Bivalvia; Mytilida; Mytilidae.
GGGCCUUCAGUUUGUAAAUGGCUUGAAACUUUAUAUUCAGGGGCAUCAAGUUGUGUUAUAAAUUAUGGACAUACUUCUAAUUUUUUUCAAUUGGAAAGAGGCUGCAGACAAGGAGAUCCUCUUUCACCCUAUUUAUUUAUUAUUGGUGUUGAAUUACUAUCUUUAAAAUUAAAAGAUAAUCCUGAAAUAAGGGGAAUAACUGUAGAUAAUAAUGAAUCACUUUUAAGCCAGUAUGCAGAUGACACAUUCCUUAUGUUAGAUGGAAAGGAAAUAUCGUUGAGGGAAACACUUUCAUGUUUUGAAUCUUUU